GACGAACGCUGGCGGCGUGCUUAACACAUGCAAGUCGAACGAAGAGCGAUGGAAGCUUGCUUCUAUCAAUCUUAGUGGCGAACGGGUGAGUAACGCGUAAUCAACCUGCCCUUCAGAGGGGGACAACAGUUGGAAACGACUGCUAAUACCGCAUACGAUCUAGUCUUGGCAUCGAGGAUAGAUGAAAGGUGGCCUCUACAUGUAAGCUAUCACUGAAGGAGGGGAUUGCGUCUGAUUAGCUAGUUGGAGGGGUAACGGCCCACCAAGGCGAUGAUCAGUAGCCGGUCUGAGAGGAUGAACGGCCACAUUGGGACUGAGACACGGCCCAGACUCCUACGGGAGGCAGCAGUGGGGAAUCUUCCGCAAUGGACGAAAGUCUGACGGAGCAACGCCGCGUGAGUGAUGACGGCCUUCGGGUUGUAAAGCUCUGUUAAUCGGGACGAAAGGCCUUCUUGCGA
RNAcentral lists this ribosomal RNA (458 nucleotides) under Veillonella parvula. Its description in RNAcentral is "bacterial SSU rRNA". It matches the Rfam family "Bacterial small subunit ribosomal RNA", at positions 28 to 463 of the family's 1533-position model. Lineage: Bacteria; Bacillati; Bacillota; Negativicutes; Veillonellales; Veillonellaceae. The record is from RNAcentral.